GCCUAACACAUGCAAGUCGAGCGGCAGCACGGGAAGCUUGCUUCCUGGUGGCGAGCGGCGGACGGGUGAGUAAUGCAUAGGAAUCUGCCCGGUAGUGGGGGAUAACCUGGGGAAACCCAGGCUAAUACCGCAUACGUCCUACGGGAGAAAGCAGGGGCUCUUCGGACCUUGCGCUAUCGGAUGAGCCUAUGUCGGAUUAGCUGGUUGGUGAGGUAAUGGCUCACCAAGGCGACGAUCCGUAGCUGGUCUGAGAGGAUGAUCAGCCACAUCGGGACUGAGACACGGCCCGAACUCCUACGGGAGGCAGCAGUGGGGAAUAUUGGACAAUGGGCGCAAGCCUGAUCCAGCCAUGCCGCGUGUGUGAAGAAGGCCCUCGGGUUGUAAAGCACUUUCAGUGGGGAAGAAAGCCUGGUGGUUAAUACCCGCCAGGAAGGACAUCACCCACAGAAGAAGCACCGGCUAACUCCGUGCCAGCAGCCGCGGUAAUACGGAGGGUGCGAGCGUUAAUCGGAAUUACUGGGCGUAAAGCGCGCGUAGGUGGCUUGAUAAGCCGGUUGUGAAAGCCCCGGGCUCAACCUGGGAACGGCAUCCGGAACUGUCAAGCUAGAGUGCAGGAGAGGAAGGUAGAAUUCCCGGUGUAGCGGUGAAAUGCGUAGAGAUCGGGAGGAAUACCAGUGGCGAAGGCGGCCUUCUGGACUGACACUGACACUGAGGUGCGGAAGCGUGGGUAGCAAACAGGAUUAGAUACCCUGGUAGUCCACGCCGUAAACGAUGUCGACUAGCCGUUGGGUCCUUCGCGGACUUUGUGGCGCAGUUAACGCGAUAAGUCGACCGCCUGGGGAGUACGGCCGCAAGGUUAAAACUCAAAUGAAUUGACGGGGGCCCGCACAAGCGGUGGAGCAUGUGGUUUAAUUCGAUGCAACGCGAAGAACCUUACCUACCCUUGACAUCCUGCGAACCCUUCGGAGACGAAGGGGUGCCUUCGGGAACGCAGAGACAGGUGCUGCAUGGCUGUCGUCAGCUCGUGUUGUGAAAUGUUGGGUUAAGUCCCGUAACGAGCGCAACCCUUGUCCUUAUUUGCCAGCGGGUAAUGCCGGGAACUCUAAGGAGACUGCCGGUGACAAACCGGAGGAAGGUGGGGACGACGUCAAGUCAUCAUGGCCCUUACGGGUAGGGCUACACACGUGCUACAAUGGUCAGUACAAAGGGUUGCAAGCUCGCGAGAGCAAGCUAAUCCCAGAAAGCUGAUCUCAGUCCGGAUCGGAGUCUGCAACUCGACUCCGUGAAGUCGGAAUCGCUAGUAAUCGUGAAUCAGAAUGUCACGGUGAAUACGUUCCCGGGCCUUGUACACACCGCCCGUCACACCAUGGGAGUGGACUGCACCAGAAGUGGUUAGCCUAACCUUCGGGAGGGCGAUCACCACGGUGUGGUUCAUGACUGGGGUGAAGUCGUAACAAGGUAGCCGUAGGGGAACCUGCGGCUGGAUCACCUCCUUA
Molecule: ribosomal RNA, 1496 nt
Filed under: uncultured bacterium
Lineage: Bacteria
Description: bacterial SSU rRNA
Rfam family: Bacterial small subunit ribosomal RNA
Source: RNAcentral